This 253-nucleotide ribosomal RNA is filed under the name uncultured Staphylococcus sp. Its description in RNAcentral is "partial 16S ribosomal RNA". It matches the Rfam family "Bacterial small subunit ribosomal RNA", at positions 109 to 355 of the family's 1533-position model. The record is from RNAcentral. Lineage: Bacteria; Bacillati; Bacillota; Bacilli; Caryophanales; Staphylococcaceae.
AGUAACACGUGGAUAACCUACCUAUAAGACUGGGAUAACUUCGGGAAACCGGAGCUAAUGCCGGAUAAUAUUUUGAACCGCAUGGUUCAAAAGUGAAAGACGGUCUUGCUGUCACUUAUAGAUGGAUCCGCGCUGCAUUAGCUAGUUGGUAAGGUAACGGCUUACCAAGGCAACGAUGCAUAGCCGACCUGAGAGGGUGAUCGGCCACACUGGAACUGAGACACGGUCCAGACUCCUACGGGAGGCAGCAGCC